GGGCCCGGGGCCCGGCACCCGGGAGGGAAACACGCCCGGCACACGCGCCGCCGCGGGCGCCACAAAUACCGCGCGGCCGGGGGCGCCGGAACGGGGUGCCCUCCCCGGGGGAACGCCCCGGGGCGCCCACCGCGGGGCUCAGGGCACCCACCGCGCGGGCACCGGGCGUCCCGCUCGGGCUCGGGGAAGCGGCGGGCGCCCAGACGCUCCCCGGCCACGCGGAGGCGCCUCCCGAGGCUCUCGCGGCCCCGGGCGGGCGGGUGGCGACGCCGGGGUCUCCCCGGAUCCCAAUUCUCCAGGGGCUGUCGCGCGCCGGGCCCGCCACGUACCACCGGGUCCCCGCCGAAGCCGGCGGCGCCGGGGAGAAAAACGCUGACCUACCACCCAACCUGCCUUCUGGGAUGGAUGCAGACCAACAUUUGCAAGUGUUAAAGGAGGAUAUGAAUGCUGAUUAAAAAGGUAGCAAUUCGAGCUCACAAGUAAUUUCCCCCAAAGGUCAGUUAGACCCACAAGAGUUUUCUGGCGCACACAGGAAGUCUCAGCUUCAUCUGUAUUUAAUGUAUUUCCCUUCUCACUGGUCCCCAUAAAGGUGAGUUUGGGGUGUGGUAAAUAUUUCACAGUAAAACUUUCCAUACCCGCAAAUUUCAGAGCCCCAGUCAAUGGCCCCCUUUAUUUUCACUUUGAAUAUAAUAAAGUGUCUGCUCAAUCACAGAAUAGGGAUAUUUGUUGGAACAUACACACUAUAUUCCCUUGGUGGUGUUAUUGACAACUGACUCCUGUACGUUACAUUGACUUGGGGGUUUCACAACUGCCCACUAACGCCCCCAUCAGCACACAGCAUGUUGUAAAACCUUUCUAGUCUUUCUAGUGCAUCUCACAAGCUAAUAGCUCUUCAGAGAAAGAAACACAAAACCAUGAGAGGACAGAAAUUGUGUCCUUCCAAAUUGUGAUCUCAUCAAGAAGAAAGAGAGAAGCUAGCCCAGCAACCAGAGACUGUAAUGGGGAAAACCAUUUAUCAAUCCAGAAAGAUUGAGACCCAGUUCAGUCAUCCCAGUUGGCUCUUUCUUACCAGAGGCCCAGAGACCUGGAGAACUUCCCCUACAUCCCUUCCUGAGGUCACUGUCCAGAGAGACAAAGAAGACCUCAGGGGGCUGAGCUAGCACCAGGCUUGAGGAUCCACCAUGAAGCUCAGCGGAGCAUCAUUGACACUUGCUACACCCUGGACACCAUUUCAGGGACCCUAACCCUAACGCUCACAGACGCUCUGAAGCAUAGCUACUGUCAUUUCCUCCAUUUUACAGAUGGGCAGACCAAGAAGGCUCAGACAGGUGAAGUGACUUGCCUAAGGCCAA
Non-coding RNA from Delphinapterus leucas (beluga whale), 1352 nucleotides. NCBI's taxonomy places the organism in Eukaryota, Metazoa, Chordata, Mammalia, Artiodactyla, Monodontidae. The record is from RefSeq and is a predicted model, not a curated record.